This 250-nucleotide unclassified non-coding RNA is filed under the name plant metagenome. RNAcentral describes it as "partial contains small subunit ribosomal RNA, internal transcribed spacer 1, and 5.8S ribosomal RNA". The record is from RNAcentral.
GUAGGUGAACCUGCGGAAGGAUCAUUAACACGUUCCAUCCUUAUCAACCAAACUGUGAACUUGUAUUUGGCUUAUGUCUAUUUUAUAGGCAUAGGUCCAUUUAAAAAGUCAAUAUUUAAUAUAUGGAACCCUAUAUCUUUCAGAUUACAUCUGAUUUAUAUAUGGAUUCCUGUAUUAUUAUUUUCUUUUUUACACCAACGCCCUAAAACACCUGCAAAUGUAAUAGUUUGCAGCUGUUGAAACCAUUGAU